This is a long non-coding RNA of Juglans regia (Persian walnut), 741 nucleotides long. RefSeq lists it as uncharacterized. Lineage: Eukaryota; Viridiplantae; Streptophyta; Magnoliopsida; Fagales; Juglandaceae. The record is from RefSeq and is a predicted model, not a curated record. The transcript is spliced from 4 exons.
GCUUCCUCCAUAAGCCAAAUUAAAUUCUCUGUUCUUCUCUUACACGUCGGUUCCAAGGGACAAGAAAGCAAUUCCCCUUCUUCCUCUUGCACCCACCGAUAGCUAGAACAAGGAAAGGAAGAAAAUACUUCCAGCCCUCACCGUGUAACAAACCUUUCUCUCCCAUUCCAUUUCUCUCUCAAUCUCAAGCCAAGCUUCCAAGUUUCUUCCUUCUCAAGAGGGAAAUAGUAAGAUUAUUGAUGUUCGGUUUUGGACUUCCAGCCAAAGGCUUCGUAUAUCCUCUGUUUUCCUAAGCCGAAUCUAUCUCCAUUCUCCUCAUUUUCAUGUUUCGGAAGGUUUUCACCAAAGGAGUUUAUUUUCAAGAUUCAAGGAACUUACUUGUAAAGCCAUGAGGUAUGAAUGAUGAGGCUGUGGAGCUAGGCACUGCUGAGGAGGGAAGGGUUGAUGCUUAGUAUUCCCUGUCGGUUCGGUUUAAUGAUAAUCGUUAUGUUUUAUGUUUUAUGAUGGGUCCCAUGUCGGGACAUUUUAUUGGUUUGACUUAAAGACAAUAUGUCCUUGGGCAUGAUGUAUAUAUUGAGGUGAGAUGAUAGUAAUAGUGUAACUUCUAUAGUGGGGUGAUGGUAACCCCACAUAAGAAGGUUAAACGUAUUUUGGAUAUGUUGUAGGGACGGAGUCCCCUUUUUAUUGGAACUAGUGAUGUUUUAAAUGAAUGAAUGGUGGACUCUGAGAGUCCUUUGGUAA